Molecule: non-coding RNA, 1671 nt
Organism: Lolium perenne
Lineage: Eukaryota; Viridiplantae; Streptophyta; Magnoliopsida; Poales; Poaceae
Source: RefSeq, a predicted model, not a curated record
GCACGCCAACGCCCACGCCACAGGAGUUGCUUCCGCCGUCUUCCUCGACUCCAUCUUCAAGAGAGAUAAUCGCAUUAACCUUGCAAGACCUGCCGUCGAUGCCACCAUGACGCCAGACGGCUCCACCAUCCACUCCACCAACAUCCGCCAACAUCCAGCAGCUGCUCCAAAAACGAUGCCCCAAGAGGUAGAACGACGCAGAGCGCGCCGCCAUCGUCUGAUCCGGGAGACCCGGACCUAGGGUUUCCCCCGGAGCAGCACGAGUGAGAGACCGCAGACUGCGACGACGAUGCCUUCAAGAAGGUAGCGGCGUGACACGUCGCCAUCAUCCGCCAACCGAGGUCGGAGCACGGUUUUCACCGGCAGCCGCGCAUCCCGAACCCGCCGAGUGUAGUGCCAAGACGGGCAAAGAUGACGCCUUCGACAAGGUAACGACGUCGCCCGACGCCGCCAUCAUCCGCCAAGACCGAGGUCGAGGCUCGGUUUUCACCGGCCGCCAUGACACCCCGGACUAGAUCUCACCGCCACCCCGCCGCCCACACGGCCAGGGCCACGGGCCACCGCUCGCCGCGAAGAAGACGGCACCGCUGCCACCAUCCGGAGCCGCCGCUCCGGCGUCCAGGGCCCCCGCCGAGACCACCACCAGCAGCCCCUCUAGCACCGAAGCCCGCCGCCACUAAGCCGCCAGAUCCCGAGAGCCACCCGCCGCCACGGACGGAGGAGCGGCUGCCGGAGUCGCCGACCAAGGGGGAGACGCGUCGGGGGUGGAGAGCGUCGCCGGGAAGCGGCCUCAGCCCCGGCAAGCCCAGCCUGGCCACCUUCCUCCAUGCGGUUGUGCUUGGCGCCGGGGACCGCAGCCGAGGGCCAAAUCCCCGCCGCCCCCUUCACCGGCGCCGCGGCCUUUGGCCGGCAGCACCUCGAGGGGCGACGAGGAGGGAGAGAGGGGGGAGGGCGGACGGGGCGGCGGCGGCUAGGGUUUGCCCCUCCCGGUCGCCAGGAGGAGCGAUGCGAGAGGGGUACGCGAGAGGCUGUGCUAGAAAUUAAUGAGGUACUUGUCCUGUAUUUGAACUUCUAAAUUAUGACAACAAAGUUCAGAAUUUUUUUUCAGAUUUAUCCAGAUUGUUGUUUCCCUUUCACCUUUUUACCACGUGUUGACUUACAGGGUUUUUUUCCGAGAAUGUCUUGACUUACAGGUUCAACAUGACCACUUAGCAUAUACUUCUGUAAGAGAAAAUGCCACUGGGGAUUUAUCAGUGAAUGCUCUUCAUUAUAUCUUCUCUACAUUUGACUACAGAUGCAUGUAGCAGUUCCAUGGUCCUGCUCCGCUUCUGGCUCGGUGGUUUAAUCUUGAGUUCCUCAUGUGGUUCUCACAUGAGAUAGGAUGAUCUUCCCUGAACUUGAAGUCUCAGAACCUAUUCAUCAGCUAAAUCUCUCACAUAGGAUGAGAUUCACACUUUGAUGCUGAUGCGGCAAUAGUGAGAGUGCGAGAGUAUUACUGGAGCAAAUAUCAUGCCUGCCCAAGUACAAGGAAAACGAAGCUCAAGAUUGAAAAGAACGCUACUGCCGGGAGCUGUAAGAUAUUUUUAACAAAAGAUAAAGACAUGAAUCAUGUGAAGAAAAAUAUUUGUAUAUGCCUGAUUUUGAACGAUUUUUUUCUUAAAAAUCAUCUAA